RNAcentral lists this ribosomal RNA (141 nucleotides) under uncultured bacterium. Its description in RNAcentral is "partial 16S rRNA". It matches the Rfam family "Bacterial small subunit ribosomal RNA", at positions 355 to 511 of the family's 1533-position model. The record is from RNAcentral.
UGGGGAAUUUUCCGCAAUGGGCGAAAGCCUGACGGAGCAAUGCCGCGUGGAGGUGGAAGGCCUACGGGUCGUCAACUUCUUUUCUCGGAGAAGAAACAAUGACGGUAUCUGAGGAAUAAGCAUCGGCUAACUUCUUGCUAG